Molecule: long non-coding RNA, 619 nt
Organism: Cicer arietinum (chickpea)
Lineage: Eukaryota; Viridiplantae; Streptophyta; Magnoliopsida; Fabales; Fabaceae
Source: RefSeq, a predicted model, not a curated record
UUAUACUAAAAACUAUUCAAUUGAAAAAAGCAUAGCAUGAGGUUUUUUACAAUAUAAAGUGAUCAAACAAUUUUGUAUAUGUUUCAUGCAAAGAUAGAAGAAAAAAUGGCUAAAACUCUGAAGGUCUUUUAUACUUUGAUCCUUUUUGUGUUCCUAUUUCUUGCUGUAGUCGAUGUUGGUGCUCGUUCAUGUCGGUCAUACAUCGAUUGUCUAAAGUACAUAUGUCCCUAUAGUGGUUAUGGAUAUUGCUUAAUGGGUAUUUGUAGAUGCUCAACAGAUUACCAAUUAUAGCCAACACAAUCAUGACAAGUAAUCAAUGGAGCUUUUCUUGUGAAAGUGGAGUAUUAGAGGUUUGUGCCUCACUUUAUUUUAUUUUAUGAGUUUUUUAUUACUAUAAUUGAUUUUGUUGUAUAGGGUGGAGUAACUCUUGAUUGAGUUAUUCCUUUUAAUAAUUGUUUGUAUUUCUUGAGAUUUAAUAUUUUCACUUAUUUUAUUUUUUAGUUUUCAAAGUUAUGAGUUAUAAAAUUAUUGUUAUUAUUUGUUAUAUAAUUAUUGUUAUUAUUCGUUUGUUCCUAAGAAAUAUAAGACUUCAUUGUCUUUUUUACAAAUAUUAAAAAAA